RNAcentral lists this transfer RNA (72 nucleotides) under Beta vulgaris subsp. vulgaris (sugar beet). RNAcentral's name for it is "tRNA tRNA-Gly". It matches the Rfam family "tRNA". From Rfam's summary of the family: Transfer RNA (tRNA) molecules are approximately 80 nucleotides in length. Their secondary structure includes four short double-helical elements and three loops (D, anti-codon, and T loops). The record is from Rfam by way of RNAcentral. Lineage: Eukaryota; Viridiplantae; Streptophyta; Magnoliopsida; Caryophyllales; Amaranthaceae.
GCGGGCAUAGCUCAGUGGUAGAGCACAACCUUGCCAAGGUUGGGGUCGAGAGUUCGAAUCUCUUUGCCCGCU